ANCCNAGCCGGUGAGGUAACCCUUCGGGGAGCCAGCCGUCUAAGGUGGGACAGAUGAUUAGGGUGAAGUCGUAACAAGGUAGCCGUAGGAGAACCUGCGGCUGGAUCACCUCCUUUCUAAGGAAUAAUACGGAAAACCUUGUACAUUUGCGAAAUCAAAACUUUGUUUAGUUUUGAGAGGUCUACUCUCAAACUUUGUUCUUUGAAAACUGGAUAAUAAGUAAUAUAUUAGUUUUAAAAGCCGAGAAAAACAUUGCGUUUUAAAGAGUUUUUUAAUAAUAGAAAUAUGAAUUAGUUCAUAUCGCUAAACUCAAAUAAUAACCCUUUACCGUAGGUAAAGAUAGGUUAAGUUAUAAAGGGCGCAUGGUGGAUGCCUUGGCACUAGGAGCCGAUGAAGGACGGUACUAACACCGAUAUGCUUCGGGGAGCUGUAAGUAAGCUUUGAUCCGGAGAUUUCCGAAUGGGGGAACCCAAUACUUUUAAUCGAGUAUUAUCAUUAAGUGAAUACAUAGCUUAAUGAAGGUAGACGAGGGGGAACUGAAGCGUCUAAGUACCCUCACGAGGGAAAAAGAAGGAAUGGUUUCCCCCCGG
Molecule: unclassified non-coding RNA, 590 nt
Filed under: Latilactobacillus sakei
Lineage: Bacteria; Bacillati; Bacillota; Bacilli; Lactobacillales; Lactobacillaceae
Description: Lactobacillus sakei partial 16S-23S ribosomal RNA intergenic spacer
Rfam family: Bacterial large subunit ribosomal RNA (bases 343-590)
Source: RNAcentral